AGACAACUCUUGAUAAGAAACUCAACAAAAUAGCCUCUUUACUUUAAGAGAUAGGGCGCCUCCUCACAAGGGGGGUCGUAUUGACCUGGUUGUCAGAAGGUAAAUGAGGUUGGGUGACCUGAUAACAAGAUAGCUGGCGACCAAAGCCUCGGUGAAUGACGGUCAUAACUAUAAUGGUCCUAAGGCAGCAAAAUUUCUUAUUGAGUAAGUUUUGACACCUGCACGAAAGGCGUAACGAUCUGGACAGUGUCUUGGAGAGAGGCU
This 264-nucleotide ribosomal RNA is filed under the name Olea europaea subsp. europaea. RNAcentral describes it as "Bacterial large subunit ribosomal RNA". It matches the Rfam family "Bacterial large subunit ribosomal RNA", at positions 1693 to 2033 of the family's 2925-position model. Lineage: Eukaryota; Viridiplantae; Streptophyta; Magnoliopsida; Lamiales; Oleaceae. The record is from Rfam by way of RNAcentral.